RNAcentral lists this transfer RNA (82 nucleotides) under Blattella germanica (German cockroach). RNAcentral describes it as "tRNA-Leu (TAG) (tRNA-Leu-TAG-13-1)". It matches the Rfam family "tRNA". Rfam says of the family: Transfer RNA (tRNA) molecules are approximately 80 nucleotides in length. Lineage: Eukaryota; Metazoa; Arthropoda; Insecta; Blattodea; Blattellidae. The record is from RNAcentral.
UGUAGCGUGGCCGAGCGGUCUAAGGCUCUGGUUAUAGGCACCAGUCUCUUCGGAGGCGUGGGUUCGAAUCCCACCGCUGCCA